AGAGUUUGAUCCUGGCUCAGAUUGAACGCUGGCGGCAGGCCUAACACAUGCAAGUCGAGCGGAUGAGUGGAGCUUGCUCCAUGAUUCAGCGGCGGACGGGUGAGUAAUGCCUAGGAAUCUGCCUGGUAGUGGGGGACAACGUUUCGAAAGGAACGCUAAUACCGCAUACGUCCUACGGGAGAAAGUGGGGGAUCUUCGGACCUCACGCUAUCAGAUGAGCCUAGGUCGGAUUAGCUAGUUGGUGAGGUAAAGGCUCACCAAGGCGACGAUCCGUAACUGGUCUGAGAGGAUGAUCAGUCACACUGGAACUGAGACACGGUCCAGACUCCUACGGGAGGCAGCAGUGGGGAAUAUUGGACAAUGGGCGAAAGCCUGAUCCAGCCAUGCCGCGUGUGUGAAGAAGGUCUUCGGAUUGUAAAG
RNAcentral lists this ribosomal RNA (420 nucleotides) under uncultured bacterium. RNAcentral's name for it is "bacterial SSU rRNA". It matches the Rfam family "Bacterial small subunit ribosomal RNA", at positions 8 to 430 of the family's 1533-position model. The record is from RNAcentral.